UACGUAGGUGGCAAGCGUUAUCCGGAAUUAUUGGGCGUAAAGAGCGCGCAGGUGGUUGAUUAAGUCUGAUGUGAAAGCCCACGGCUUAACCGUGGAGGGUCAUUGGAAACUGGUCGACUUGAGUGCAGAAGAGGGAAGUGGAAUUCCAUGUGUAGCGGUGAAAUGCGUAGAGAUAUGGAGGAACACCAGUGGCGAAGGCGGCGCUCUGGGCCGGAACUGACGCUGAGGAGCGAAAGCGUGGGUAGCAAACAGGAUUAGAUACCCG
RNAcentral lists this ribosomal RNA (265 nucleotides) under uncultured prokaryote. RNAcentral describes it as "partial 16S ribosomal RNA". It matches the Rfam family "Bacterial small subunit ribosomal RNA", at positions 524 to 788 of the family's 1533-position model. The record is from RNAcentral.